GUAAGCAACCUGCCUUUAAGACGAGAAUAACAAUUGGAAACAGUUGCUAAGGCUGGAUAGGAAAUAAAAAGGCAUCUUUUUAUUUUUAAAAGACCUUUUUCGGAAGGUAUGCUUAAAGAGGGGCUUGCGUCACAUUAGUUAGUUGGUAGGGUAAAGGCCUACCAAGACGAUGAUGUGUAGCUGGACUGAGAGGUUGAACAGCCACAUUGGGACUGAGACACGGCCCAAACUCCUACGGGAGGCAGCAGUAGGGAAUUUUCGGCAAUGGAGGAAACUCUGACCGAGCAACGCCGCGUGAACGACGAAGUACUUCGGUAUGUAAAGUUCUUUUAUUGAAGAAGAAACAAUAGUGGAAAAACUAUCUUGACGUUAUUCAAUGAAUAAGCCCCGGCUAACUAUGUGCCAGCAGCCGCGGUAAUACAUAGGGGGCGAGCGUUAUCCGGAAUUAUUGGGCGUAAAGGGUGCGUAGGCGGUUUAAUAAGUCUCUAGUUUAAUUUCAACGCUUAACGUUGUCCUGCUAGAGAAACUGUUUAACUAGAGUGAGAUAGAGGUAAGCGGAAUUCCAUGUGUAGCGGUAAAAUGUGUAAAUAUAUGGAGGAACACCAGAGGCGUAGGCGGCUUACUGGGUCUUUACUGACGCUGAUGCACGAAAGCGUGGGGAGCAAACAGGAUUAGAUACCCUGGUAGUCCACGCCGUAAACUAUGAGUACUAAGUGUCGGGGUUAAACUCGGUACUGAAGUUAACACAUUAAGUACUCCGCCUGAGUAGUACGUACGCAAGUAUGAAACUUAAAGGAAUUGACGGGAUCCCGCACAAGCGGUGGAUCAUGUUGUUUAAUUCGAAGAUACACGAAAAACCUUACCAGGUCUUGACAUACUCUGCAAAGCUAUAGAAAUAUAGUGGAGGUUAUCAGGGAUACAGGUGGUGCAUGGUUGUCGUCAGCUCGUGUCGUGAGAUGUUAGGUUAAGUUCUAAAACGAGCGCAACCCCUGUCGUUAAUUGCCAGCACGUUAUGGUGGGGACUUUAGCGAGACUGCCAAUGAAAAAUUGGAGGAAGGUGGGGAUUACGUCAAAUCAUCAUGCCCCUUAUGAUCUGGGCUACAAACGUGAUACAAUGGCUAUUACAAAGAGUAGCUGAAACGCGAGUUUUUGGCAAAUCUCAAAAAAAUAGUCUCAGUUCGGAUUGAAGUCUGCAACUCGACUUCAUGAAGUUGGAAUCGCUAGUAAUCGCGAAUCAGCAUGUCGCGGUGAAUACGUUCUCGGGG
This 1265-nucleotide ribosomal RNA is filed under the name 'Citrus sp.' coconut lethal yellows phytoplasma. RNAcentral's name for it is "bacterial SSU rRNA". It matches the Rfam family "Bacterial small subunit ribosomal RNA", at positions 117 to 1379 of the family's 1533-position model. Lineage: Bacteria; Bacillati; Mycoplasmatota; Mollicutes; Acholeplasmatales; Acholeplasmataceae. The record is from RNAcentral.